RNAcentral lists this unclassified non-coding RNA (207 nucleotides) under Arceuthobium gillii subsp. nigrum. The record is from RNAcentral. Lineage: Eukaryota; Viridiplantae; Streptophyta; Magnoliopsida; Santalales; Viscaceae.
UCAUGCCUUUAAAGAUGAAUGACAAGCAAUAGUUAAGCUAUUUUAGAUCGUUGAUCUAAUAGAACAUUCGACACAUGGUUGGCGAACAUGUGUGCGUUUGUUUUAAUUAUGAAUCGGUACGAAAUGUGCCAAGGAAGCGAAAAUAUUAUUCCUCCUUUAAAUGAGAUACAUUGUUAUUUUUUAUAAGGGCGGAGAUUAUUCAAUAAU